UACGUAGGGCGCGAGCGUUGUCCGGAAUUAUUGGGCGUAAAGAGCUCGUAGGCGGCCUGUCGCGUCCGCUGUGAAAUCCCGGGGCUUAACCCCGGGCCUGCAGUGGAUACGGGCAGGCUGGAGGCAGGCAGGGGAGAACGGAAUUCCCGGUGUAGCGGUGAAAUGCGCAGAUAUCAAGUGGAACACCAGUGGCGAAGGCGGGUUGCUGGGCUGACACUAACGCUGAAGCGCGAAAGCUAGGGGAGCGAACGGG
This 253-nucleotide ribosomal RNA is filed under the name uncultured bacterium. Its description in RNAcentral is "partial 16S ribosomal RNA". It matches the Rfam family "Bacterial small subunit ribosomal RNA", at positions 524 to 776 of the family's 1533-position model. The record is from RNAcentral.